GGAAAACUCAGGAUUUUAGGAAAAAUCAAAAUUUUAGGAAAAGGUUGGAUUUUAGGAGAAGGCUGGAUUUUAGGAAAUGGUUGGAUUUCAGGAAAAGCCUCUUCCCCCAGAGGGUGCUGGGGCAUUCCCCAGGGAACAGCCACAGCUCCAAACCUCCAGGAGCCUCUGCACAACUCUCAGGGACAGGGUGGAAUUUCGGGAUGGAAUU
This is a long non-coding RNA of Prinia subflava (tawny-flanked prinia), 208 nucleotides long. RefSeq lists it as uncharacterized. Lineage: Eukaryota; Metazoa; Chordata; Aves; Passeriformes; Cisticolidae. The transcript is spliced from 3 exons. The record is from RefSeq and is a predicted model, not a curated record.